ACGGGAGGCAGCAGUGGAGAAUCUUGCACAAUGGGGGAAACCCUGAUGCAGCAACGCCGCGUGAAGGAUGAAGGCCCUUGGGUCGUAAACUUCUUUUCUGAGGGAAGAUAAUGACGGUACCUCAGGAAUAAGUCCCGGCUAACUACGUGCCAGCAGCCGCGGUAAUACGUAGGGGGCGAGCGUUAUCCGGAAUUAUUGGGCGUAAAGAGUACGUAGGUGGUUUCCUAAGCAUGGGGUUUAAGGCACUAGCUUAACUAAUGUUCGCCCCAUGAACUGGGUUACUUGAGUGCUGGAGGGGAAAGCGGAAUUCCUAGUGUAGCGGUGAAAUGCGUAGAUAUUAGGAGGAACACCAGUGGCGAAGGCGGCUUUCUGGACUGUAACUGACGUUGAGGCUCGAAAGCGUGGGGAGCAAACAGGAUUAGAUACCCUGGUA
Molecule: ribosomal RNA, 433 nt
Filed under: uncultured Anaerovorax sp.
Lineage: Bacteria; Bacillati; Bacillota; Clostridia; Peptostreptococcales; Anaerovoracaceae
Description: bacterial SSU rRNA
Rfam family: Bacterial small subunit ribosomal RNA
Source: RNAcentral